AGUAACGCGUGGAAAACCUGCCGUAUACUGGGGGAUAACACUUAGAAAUAGGUGCUAAUACCGCAUAAGCGCACAGCUUCGCAUGAAGUGGUGUGAAAAACUCUGGUGGUAUACGAUGGUUCCGCGUCUGAUUAGCUUGUUGGUGGGGUAAUGGCUCACCAAGGCGACGAUCAGUAGCCGGCCUGAGAGGGCGGACGGCCACACUGGGACUGAGACACGGCCCAGACUCCUACGGAAGGCAGCAG
This 245-nucleotide ribosomal RNA is filed under the name uncultured bacterium. RNAcentral describes it as "partial 16S ribosomal RNA". It matches the Rfam family "Bacterial small subunit ribosomal RNA", at positions 109 to 354 of the family's 1533-position model. The record is from RNAcentral.